Molecule: long non-coding RNA, 248 nt
Filed under: Sorghum bicolor (sorghum)
Lineage: Eukaryota; Viridiplantae; Streptophyta; Magnoliopsida; Poales; Poaceae
Description: long non-coding RNA (SBIC_LNC016539)
Source: RNAcentral
AUUUGCAUUGUUGUUUUGUGCUUGAACUAGAUUGCUUCAUACAACAAUACAUAAUUUUGGCUUUUGUAAACUUGGAUCAAAUACCUGUGAGAUAGCUUUUCCCUGUUUCACACUUAGCAAGAUCAUUAGUUCCUUUAAUCAUGGUUGUCAUUCUAUCAUCCAAAACACAUUAAGUGGCUUAAUGCACUUACAAUCUCCCCCUUUUUGGUGAUUGAUGACAACCUUGAUUAAAGCUUACAAAAGAUAAU